AGAGUUUGAUCAUGGCUCAGAACGAACGCUGGCGGCAGGCUUAACACAUGCAAGUCGAGCGCCCCGCAAGGGGAGCGGCAGACGGGUGAGUAACGCGUGGGAAUCUACCUUUUGCUACGGAAUAACGCAUGGAAACGUGUGCUAAUACCGUAUGUGCCCUUCGGGGGAAAGAUUUAUCGGCAAAGGAUGAGCCCGCGUUGGAUUAGCUAGUUGGUGGGGUAAAGGCCUACCAAGGCGACGAUCCAUAGCUGGUCUGAGAGGAUGAUCAGCCACAUUGGGACUGAGACACGGCCCAAACUCCUACGGGAGGCAGCAGUGGGGAAUAUUGGACAAUGGGCGCAAGCCUGAUCCAGCCAUGCCGCGUGAGUGAUGAAGGCCUUAGGGUUGUAAAGCUCUUUCACCGGAGAAGAUAAUGACGGUAUCCGGAGAAGAAGCCCCGGCUAACUUCGUGCCAGCAGCCGCGGUAAUACGAAGGGGGCUAGCGUUGUUCGGAUUUACUGGGCGUAAAGCGCACGUAGGCGGAUCGAUCAGUCAGGGGUGAAAUCCCAGAGCUCAACUCUGGAACUGCCUUUGAUACUGUCGAUCUGGAGUAUGGAAGAGGUGAGUGGAAUUCCGAGUGUAGAGGUGAAAUUCGUAGAUAUUCGGAGGAACACCAGUGGCGAAGGCGGCUCACUGGUCCAUUACUGACGCUGAGGUGCGAAAGCGUGGGGAGCAAACAGGAUUAGAUACCCUAGUAGUCC
Molecule: ribosomal RNA, 740 nt
Filed under: uncultured bacterium
Lineage: Bacteria
Description: bacterial SSU rRNA
Rfam family: Bacterial small subunit ribosomal RNA
Source: RNAcentral